This 270-nucleotide long non-coding RNA is filed under the name Carica papaya (papaya). RNAcentral's name for it is "long non-coding RNA (CPAP_LNC007056)". Lineage: Eukaryota; Viridiplantae; Streptophyta; Magnoliopsida; Brassicales; Caricaceae. The record is from RNAcentral.
UUUUCAGAAGUCUUGUUAACCCAAGGAUCGGGGAUCAACUUAUUGAUAAGUCCAUGACGUUUUUUCUUUCUUUGUUUAUUUUUCGUAGUCUUUGUUUUCGAUUUUUUUUUUUAGGAUUGUAGAUUCAAUUAAAGGGAUGAGUUUUAUCCUAGGUGGUUAUUGUUUUGAUAUUGCAUAUUUUGAGUGGGUUUUCAGUAGUAGUUUCGAUCCUUCCCAUACCCUCCUGCAUCAGGUAAGUCUUGACCAUCUAACUUUAGAAAUCUAAAAAUU